Piliocolobus tephrosceles (Ugandan red Colobus) is the source of this 1741-nucleotide long non-coding RNA. NCBI's taxonomy places the organism in Eukaryota, Metazoa, Chordata, Mammalia, Primates, Cercopithecidae. The record is from Ensembl.
AUAUUCGAGAGCCCAUAAUGAAAAAUCAAACGCCUUACACAAUUUUAUUUUCAUAUAAUACAGACCGUAUUAAAGAGUUUUUAAUUUAUUUGCUAGAUAAGUUUGAAAUCGUAGAAAAAUAUACAGACUCUGAAAGCUUUAAUAUUUUGUUUGAUAACAAGGAUGUACCUCUUAGUAAUAGAACUUACAUAUUUAAAAAAGAAGCAAAAAUACGAAUAAAAAAUAAAUAUUAUACUGCAGAUGUUAUAAUUGCCUCGUGUUUAAUUUUAAUUGAAGAAGAUGAGGUAAUUUAUUCUGAAGAGUUGGAAUUGGAGGAAAAGGGAAGAACAAACGUUUUGCCUAAAAUUAUUAAUUAUAAAAUAGAAAAUUUAAAAAAAAUAAAUUUGACGGAUAUAGUUUUUGAGUGUAUUAUUUUUUUAUUUACCAAUUUUACUGAAAAAGAAAAAAGAAUAAUUAAUGAAAACCCGUUUAGAAAUUAUAAUGAAGAUUGUAUAGAAUAUAUACAAGACUCAAAUACUAAAAAAACAAAAAAAAAUGAAGAUUUUGAUUUUUCCAAUUUAUAUAAAGAUAUAGGAAUAAAACUUGUUAUUUUUCCUUUAUCAUUACAAAAAAAAAACCAAGAAAUUUUAAUGUAUUUAAGUUACUACUUUAUUGAAUGUUUGUAUAUUAAUUAUGAAUCAUACAAUGUAGAUGAUAUGUCACAUGAGGAACGUUCCAACUGCCCUCCAAAUAAGUUCUUAGACGAAUAUGCGGGUUCAAAACAUUAUCACCCACCUCAAAAAAUAAAAGAAAAAAAAACUAUCAAGACAAGCAACUUAACACAUUCUCAUGAAAAUGAUGAACGAUUAGUUGAAGCACUGCACUGUCAUAUGUGGAGGGGGUUAAAAAUCAAAAAGGAGAAUCUAAUAAUUCAAGGAAAUGAAGUUAAAAACGGUUUUUCUAAUACGAACAGUGGAGUCAUCACACAUGUUAACAAAAGCGACGGACAAAAAAUUAAGAAAAUGGAAAAAGAUGAGGAUAGGAGUACUAAAGAGAGGGGAAAAAGUGAAGGGAAAAGUGAGGGCAAAAAUGAGGUGGGAAAUGAGAGGAUAAGUGAGGGCAAAAAUGAGGGGAAAAAUGAAGGGAAAAGUGAGAACAAAAAUGAGGGAAAAAAUGAAGGGAAAAGUGAGGGCAAAAAUGAGGGAAAAAAUGAAGGGAAAAGUGAGGGAAAAAAUGAGGGGAAAAAUGAGGGGAAAAAUGAAGGGAAAGGUGAGGGCAAAAAUGAAGGGAAAAGUGAGGGCAAAAAUGAAGGCAAAAAUGAAGGGAAAAGUGAGGGCAAAAAUGAAGGCAAAAAUGAAGGGAAAAGUGAGGGAAAAAAUGAAGGCAAAAAUGAGGGCAAAAAAAAAGAAAAAGAUAAACAUAAGUAUAAAGAACAAGGUAAAGAAAAAAAUGAGAAAGAUUUAUUAUUUUUGGAAAAUUUUAAUCAUAUUGUGGAAAAAAUAAAAUUAGCUAAAAUUGAAAACAGUAAUUGUAGUAAUGAUUUAGAAAGAAGAAAAAAAGCAGAGAAAUUAAUUUUCGAAUUACAACAUUAUUUUCAAGGUGUUGAUGACAAAUGAUAAAGUUUUAAACACUUAAAGGCAAGUUAAAAAAAAAAAAAAAAAAAAAAAAAAAUGCCAAGAGACAACUAACAAAUAUAUAACAGCAUAUACCAAACUAACAAACUCCAAAUAAACUGUGGAAAAUCAAUAAAACUUAAUAAUAU